Molecule: ribosomal RNA, 2351 nt
Filed under: Escherichia coli PA28
Lineage: Bacteria; Pseudomonadati; Pseudomonadota; Gammaproteobacteria; Enterobacterales; Enterobacteriaceae
Description: bacterial LSU rRNA
Rfam family: Bacterial large subunit ribosomal RNA
Source: RNAcentral
GUGACUGCGUACCUUUUGUAUAAUGGGUCAGCGACUUAUAUUCUGUAGCAAGGUUAACCGAAUAGGGGAGCCGAAGGGAAACCGAGUCUUAACCGGGCGUUAAGUUGCAGGGUAUAGACCCGAAACCCGGUGAUCUAGCCAUGGGCAGGUUGAAGGUUGGGUAACACUAACUGGAGGACCGAACCGACUAAUGUUGAAAAAUUAGCGGAUGACUUGUGGCUGGGGGUGAAAGGCCAAUCAAACCGGGAGAUAGCUGGUUCUCCCCGAAAGCUAUUUAGGUAGCGCCUCGUGAAUUCAUCUCCGGGGGUAGAGCACUGUUUCGGCAAGGGGGUCAUCCCGACUUACCAACCCGAUGCAAACUGCGAAUACCGGAGAAUGUUAUCACGGGAGACACACGGCGGGUGCUAACGUCCGUCGUGAAGAGGGAAACAACCCAGACCGCCAGCUAAGGUCCCAAAGUCAUGGUUAAGUGGGAAACGAUGUGGGAAGGCCCAGACAGCCAGGAUGUUGGCUUAGAAGCAGCCAUCAUUUAAAGAAAGCGUAAUAGCUCACUGGUCGAGUCGGCCUGCGCGGAAGAUGUAACGGGGCUAAACCAUGCACCGAAGCUGCGGCAGCGACACUGUGUGUUGUUGGGUAGGGGAGCGUUCUGUAAGCCUGUGAAGGUGUACUGUGAGGUAUGCUGGAGGUAUCAGAAGUGCGAAUGCUGACAUAAGUAACGAUAAAGCGGGUGAAAAGCCCGCUCGCCGGAAGACCAAGGGUUCCUGUCCAACGUUAAUCGGGGCAGGGUGAGUCGACCCCUAAGGCGAGGCCGAAAGGCGUAGUCGAUGGGAAACAGGUUAAUAUUCCUGUACUUGGUGUUACUGCGAAGGGGGGACGGAGAAGGCUAUGUUGGCCGGGCGACGGUUGUCCCGGUUUAAGCGUGUAGGCUGGUUUUCCAGGCAAAUCCGGAAAAUCAAGGCUGAGGCGUGAUGACGAGGCACUACGGUGCUGAAGCAACAAAUGCCCUGCUUCCAGGAAAAGCCUCUAAGCAUCAGGUAACAUCAAAUCGUACCCCAAACCGACACAGGUGGUCAGGUAGAGAAUACCAAGGCGCUUGAGAGAACUCGGGUGAAGGAACUAGGCAAAAUGGUGCCGUAACUUCGGGAGAAGGCACGCUGAUAUGUAGGUGAAGUCCCUCGCGGAUGGAGCUGAAAUCAGUCGAAGAUACCAGCUGGCUGCAACUGUUUAUUAAAAACACAGCACUGUGCAAACACGAAAGUGGACGUAUACGGUGUGACGCCUGCCCGGUGCCGGAAGGUUAAUUGAUGGGGUCAGCGCAAGCGAAGCUCUUGAUCGAAGCCCCGGUAAACGGCGGCCGUAACUAUAACGGUCCUAAGGUAGCGAAAUUCCUUGUCGGGUAAGUUCCGACCUGCACGAAUGGCGUAAUGAUGGCCAGGCUGUCUCCACCCGAGACUCAGUGAAAUUGAACUCGCUGUGAAGAUGCAGUGUACCCGCGGCAAGACGGAAAGACCCCGUGAACCUUUACUAUAGCUUGACACUGAACAUUGAGCCUUGAUGUGUAGGAUAGGUGGGAGGCUUUGAAGUGUGGACGCCAGUCUGCAUGGAGCCGACCUUGAAAUACCACCCUUUAAUGUUUGAUGUUCUAACGUGGACCCGUGAUCCGGGUUGCGGACAGUGUCUGGUGGGUAGUUUGACUGGGGCGGUCUCCUCCUAAAGAGUAACGGAGGAGCACGAAGGUUGGCUAAUCCUGGUCGGACAUCAGGAGGUUAGUGCAAUGGCAUAAGCCAGCUUGACUGCGAGCGUGACGGCGCGAGCAGGUGCGAAAGCAGGUCAUAGUGAUCCGGUGGUUCUGAAUGGAAGGGCCAUCGCUCAACGGAUAAAAGGUACUCCGGGGAUAACAGGCUGAUACCGCCCAAGAGUUCAUAUCGACGGCGGUGUUUGGCACCUCGAUGUCGGCUCAUCACAUCCUGGGGCUGAAGUAGGUCCCAAGGGUAUGGCUGUUCGCCAUUUAAAGUGGUACGCGAGCUGGGUUUAGAACGUCGUGAGACAGUUCGGUCCCUAUCUGCCGUGGGCGCUGGAGAACUGAGGGGGGCUGCUCCUAGUACGAGAGGACCGGAGUGGACGCAUCACUGGUGUUCGGGUUGUCAUGCCAAUGGCACUGCCCGGUAGCUAAAUGCGGAAGAGAUAAGUGCUGAAAGCAUCUAAGCACGAAACUUGCCCCGAGAUGAGUUCUCCCUGACCCUUUAAGGGUCCUGAAGGAACGUUGAAGACGACGACGUUGAUAGGCCGGGUGUGUAAGCGCAGCGAUGCGUUGAGCUAACCGGUACUAAUGAACCGUGAGGCUUAACCUU